CAGCAUGUUUUGGCUCUGAGCCGUUGUGGACUCUUGAUUUCUGAAGAGAACACAAGUAGAAACAUGCUAGAUUAACACUUGAGGAGUUAACAGGGCCACCAGUCUCUCAAGGUCAGACUGAGUUGGUAGUAUAAUACUCCAACACUC
Molecule: non-coding RNA, 147 nt
Organism: Xyrichtys novacula (pearly razorfish)
Lineage: Eukaryota; Metazoa; Chordata; Actinopteri; Labriformes; Labridae
Source: the annotation of a GenBank genome assembly